RNAcentral lists this ribosomal RNA (443 nucleotides) under Pedobacter sp. R-41937. RNAcentral describes it as "bacterial SSU rRNA". It matches the Rfam family "Bacterial small subunit ribosomal RNA", at positions 28 to 468 of the family's 1533-position model. Lineage: Bacteria; Pseudomonadati; Bacteroidota; Sphingobacteriia; Sphingobacteriales; Sphingobacteriaceae. The record is from RNAcentral.
GAUGAACGCUAGCGGCAGGCCUAAUACAUGCAAGUCGAACGAGAUUAAGGGGCUUGCUCCUUAUGAAAGUGGCGCACGGGUGCGUAACGCGUAUGCAACCUACCUCAAUCAGGGGGAUAGCCCGAAGAAAUUCGGAUUAACACCGCAUAAAAACACAGGAUAGCAUUAUCUAAUGUUCAAAUAUUUAUAGGAUUGAGAUGGGCAUGCGUGUCAUUAGCUAGUUGGCGGGGUAACGGCCCACCAAGGCGACGAUGACUAGGGGAUCUGAGAGGAUGACCCCCCACACUGGUACUGAGACACGGACCAGACUCCUACGGGAGGCAGCAGUAAGGAAUAUUGGUCAAUGGAGGCAACWCUGAACCAGCCWUGCCGCGUGCAGGAAGACAGCCCUCUGGGUCGUAAACUGCUUUUAUUCGGGAAUAAACCUUAUUACGUGUAAUAAG